Molecule: ribosomal RNA, 578 nt
Filed under: uncultured Bacteroidota bacterium
Lineage: Bacteria; Pseudomonadati; Bacteroidota
Description: bacterial SSU rRNA
Rfam family: Bacterial small subunit ribosomal RNA
Source: RNAcentral
AGUUUAGUCAUGGCUCAGGACGAACGCUGGCGGCGUGCCUAACACAUGCAAGUCGAACGAGAUCCCGGAGCUUGCUCCGGGGGACAGUGGCGAACGGGUGAGUAACACGUGAGAAACCUGCCCUGGAGACCGGGACAACCAUUGGAAACGAUGGCUAAUACCGGAUGCCUUCACAUGGCCGCAUGGCCGAGUGAAGAAAUGCUCAGGCGCUCUAGGAGGGUCUCGCGGCCUAUCAGCUAGUUGGUGAGGUAACGGCUCACCAAGGCAUCGACGGGUAGCUGGUCUGAGAGGACGAUCAGCCACACUGGGACUGAGACACGGCCCAGACUCCUACGGGAGGCAGCAGUGGGGAAUAUUGCGCAAUGGGCGAAAGCCUGACGCAGCAACGCCGCGUGUGGGAUGACAGCUUUCGGGUUGUAAACCACUUUCAGUGACGACGAAAAUGACGGUAGUCACAGAAGAAGGUCCGGCCAACUACGUGCCAGCAGCCGCGGUAACACGUAGGGACCAAGCGUUGUCCGGAUUUAUUGGGCGUAAAGAGCUCGUAGGCUGUUUCGUAAGUCGGAUGUGAAAACUCA